GACGAACGCUGGCGGCGUGCUUAACACAUGCAAGUCGAACGGAAAGGCCCUGCUUUUGUGGGGUGCUCGAGUGGCGAACGGGUGAGUAACACGUGAGUAACCUGCCCUUGACUUUGGGAUAACUUCAGGAAACUGGGGCUAAUACCGGAUAGGAGCUCCUGCUGCAUGGUGGGGGUUGGAAAGUUUCGGCGGUUGGGGAUGGACUCGCGGCUUAUCAGCUUGUUGGUGGGGUAGUGGCUGACCAAGGCUUGGACGGGUAGCCGGCCUGAGAGGGUGACCGGCCACAUUGGGACUGCGCUACGGCCCAGACUCCUACGGUAGGCAACAGUGGGGAAUAUUGCACAAUGGGCGGAAGCCUGAUGCAGCAACGCCGCGUGCGGGAUGACGGCCUUCGGGUUGUAAACCGCUUUCGCCUGUGACGAAGCGUGAGUGACGGUAAUGGGUAAAGAAGCACCGGCUAACUACGUG
RNAcentral lists this ribosomal RNA (468 nucleotides) under uncultured bacterium. RNAcentral's name for it is "partial 16S ribosomal RNA". It matches the Rfam family "Bacterial small subunit ribosomal RNA", at positions 28 to 507 of the family's 1533-position model. The record is from RNAcentral.